RNAcentral lists this ribosomal RNA (490 nucleotides) under uncultured bacterium. RNAcentral's name for it is "partial 16S ribosomal RNA". It matches the Rfam family "Bacterial small subunit ribosomal RNA", at positions 30 to 507 of the family's 1533-position model. The record is from RNAcentral.
AUUGAACGCUGGCGGCAGGCCUAACACAUGCAAGUCGAACGGUAACAGGAAGCAGCUUGCUGCUUUGCUGACGAGUGGCGGACGGGUGAGUAAUGUCUGGGAAACUGCCUGAUGGAGGGGGAUAACUACUGGAAACGGUAGCUAAUACCGCAUAACGUCGCAAGACCAAAGAGGGGGACCUUCUGGCCUCUUGCCCUCUGAUGUGCCCAGAUGGGAUUAGCUAGUAGGUGGGGUAACGGCUCACCUAGGCGACGAUCCCUAGAUGGUCUGAGAGGAUGACCAGCCACACUGGAACUGAGACACGGUCCAGACUCCUACGGGAGGCAGCGGUGGGGAAUAUUGCACAAUGGGCGCAAGCCUGAUGCAGCCAUGCCGCGUGUAUGAAGAAGGCCUUCGGGUUGUAAAGUACUUUCAGCGGGGAGGAAGGGAGUAAAGUUAAUACCUUGGCUCAUUGACGUUACCCGCAGAAGAAGCACCGGCUAACUCCGUG